Molecule: ribosomal RNA, 253 nt
Filed under: uncultured bacterium
Lineage: Bacteria
Description: partial 16S ribosomal RNA
Rfam family: Bacterial small subunit ribosomal RNA
Source: RNAcentral
UACGAAGGGGGCUAGCGUUGCUCGGAAUUACCGGGCGUAAAGGGCGCGUAGGCGGCUUGGUCAGUCAGGCGUGAAAUUCCUGGGCUUAACCUGGGGACUGCGCUUGAUACGGCCAGGCUUGAGGAUGGAAGAGGGUCGCGGAAUUCCCAGUGUAGAGGUGAAAUUCGUAGAUAUUGGGAAGAACACCGGUGGCGAAGGCGGCGACCUGGUCCAUUACUGACGCUGAGGCGCGACAGCGUGGGGAGCGAACAGG